UGGGGAAUCUUGGACAAUGGGGGCAACCCUGAUCCAGCCAUGCCGCGUGAGUGAUGAAGGCCUUAGGGUCGUAAAGCUCUUUCGCCUGUGAAGAUAAUGACGGUAGCAGGUAAAGAAACCCCGGCUAACUCCGUGCCAGCAGCCGCGGUAAUACGGAGGGGGUUAGCGUUGUUCGGAAUUACUGGGCGUAAAGCGCACGUAGGCGGACCAGAAAGUUGGGGGUGAAAUCCCGGGGGCUCAACCCCGGAACUGCCUCCAAAACUAUUGGUCUAGAGUUCGAGAGAGGUGAGUGGAAUUCCAAGUGUAGAGGUGAAAUUCGUAGAUAUUUGGAGGAACACCAGUGGCGAAGGCGGCUCACUGGCUCGAUACUGACGCUGAGGUGCGAAAGUGUGGGGAGCAAACAGGAUUAGAUACCCUGGUAGUCCACACCGUAAAACGAUGAAUGCCAGUCGUCGGGUAGCAUGCUAUUCGGUGACACACCUAACGGAUUAAGCAUUCCGCCUGGGGAGUACGGUCGCAAGAUUAAAACCUCAAAU
RNAcentral lists this ribosomal RNA (536 nucleotides) under uncultured bacterium. RNAcentral's name for it is "bacterial SSU rRNA". It matches the Rfam family "Bacterial small subunit ribosomal RNA", at positions 355 to 906 of the family's 1533-position model. The record is from RNAcentral.